AAGGAUCAUUACCAAGCCGUGAAGGUCGCCCUGAAAAGGGAAUGAUCUUUCACCUGGCCACCCUUGCUUACUUAACCUGUUGCUUUGGUGGGCCCGCCGCGAGGCCGCCGGGGAACCUAGUUCCCGGGCCCGUGCCCACCAAAGUCUUACCGAACUCUGCAAGAUUUUUGCUGUCUGAGCGUGAAAGCGCAACCAUUAAAACUUUCAACAACGGAUCUCUUGGUUCUGGCAUCGAUGAAGAACGCAGCGUAGCCAGCAUCGAUGUGGAAGUAAAAGUCGUAACAAGGCAUCGAUGAAGAACGCAGCGUAGCCGUGCACCGAUGUGGAAGUAAAAGUCGUAACAAG
Molecule: unclassified non-coding RNA, 345 nt
Filed under: uncultured fungus
Lineage: Eukaryota; Fungi
Description: partial contains 18S rRNA, ITS1, 5.8S rRNA, ITS2 and 28S rRNA
Source: RNAcentral